RNAcentral lists this ribosomal RNA (205 nucleotides) under uncultured bacterium. RNAcentral describes it as "partial 16S ribosomal RNA". It matches the Rfam family "Bacterial small subunit ribosomal RNA", at positions 570 to 774 of the family's 1533-position model. The record is from RNAcentral.
CGUAGGCGGCCUGCUAAGUCACACGUGAAAUCCCUCGGCUCAACCGGGGAACUGCGUGUGAUACUGGCGGGCUUGAAUUCGGGAGAGGGAUGUGGAAUUCCAGGUGUAGCGGUGAAAUGCGUAGAUAUCUGGAGGAACACCGGUGGCGAAGGCGACAUCCUGGACCGGUAUUGACGCUGAGGCGCGAAAGCCAGGGGAGCAAACG